CCUACGGGAGGCAGCAGUGAGGAAUAUUGGUCAAUGGGCGCUAGCCUGAACCAGCCAAGUAGCGUGAAGGAUGACUGCCCUAUGGGUUGUAAACUUCUUUUAUAUGGGAAUAAAGUGCAGUAUGUAUACUGCUUUGCAUGUACCUUAUGAAUAAGGAUCGGCUAACUCCGUGCCAGCAGCCGCGGUAAUACGGAGGAUCCGAGCGUUAUCCGGAUUUAUUGGGUUUAAAGGGAGCGUAGGCGGGUUGUUAAGUCAGUUGUGAAAGUUUGCGGCUCAACCGUAAAAUUGCAGUUGAUACUGGCAUCCUUGAGUACAGUAGAGGUAGGCAGAAUUCGUGGUGUAGCGGUGAAAUGCUUAGAUAUCACGAAGAACACCGAUGGCGAAGGCAGCCUGCUGGACUGUAACUGACGCUGAUGCUCGAAAGUGUGGGUAGCAAACAGGAUUAGAUACCCGAGUAGUC
This 460-nucleotide ribosomal RNA is filed under the name uncultured bacterium. Its description in RNAcentral is "partial 16S ribosomal RNA". It matches the Rfam family "Bacterial small subunit ribosomal RNA", at positions 338 to 795 of the family's 1533-position model. The record is from RNAcentral.